AAGACUACACUUUCAGGGAUCGUUUCUAUAGUUCAUUACUAGAAAAGUUUCUCUGAACAUGUAGAUCACCGGCAGAAACUGCCGGUGGU
Pongo abelii (Sumatran orangutan) is the source of this 89-nucleotide small nucleolar RNA. Its record names the gene U3. It matches the Rfam family "Small nucleolar RNA U3". From Rfam's summary of the family: Small nucleolar RNAs (snoRNAs) are involved in the processing and modification of rRNA in the nucleolus. There are two main classes of snoRNAs: the box C/D class, and the box H/ACA class. Lineage: Eukaryota; Metazoa; Chordata; Mammalia; Primates; Hominidae. The record is from Ensembl.